GAUAUAAGGAUUGCUCAACACAGUCAUUAAGUAAAUUAAUGACUGUGUUGAGCAAUCUUUAUAUUUGAAAUUAAAAUUACUAAUUAACUCAUUACUAAAUUACUACGGUGUAUUUUCGGCUUCCAUAACAAAAAUCUUGGGGUUGCUUAGCAGUUGCUAGGCCAAAUCUUGGUGUUGCUGUAGCUAAGCUAAGCUACCCCCUAGCGCUGCCCAUGACAAACCAGCUUCGUUGUGAUGUGAUGGAAGGAAAACAAGUAUAGACUGUCGGCUGAACCACUUCGAUUAACUCUUUUUGAUGCCCUUGGGGUGUGGUUAUACUCAGAGCUCUACCCAGGUGACAGAACCCACUUUGAGCAGGUUUCAUCUGAGAUCUUGUACCUAUUCACCAUCCAUAUGUCCCGACACUUGCAGAAGGUUGAAAUGCAGAUGAACUGGUAAGACUUUGCUCUUCAACCUGGCAUCUUCUUCAUUGGGACAGGCCGAACUUGCCCUUUCACAAAGCUGGUCAAUGUGAAGUAAGGCUUUGUUCUUCGUCUGUCAUUUAUUUCCCAACUCUUUCUCUCUGCCUUCUGGGUCAUGUUGUCCCCUCUCCCUAAAAAAAAAAAAAAACCUCUGGCUGUAAAUCAGAGCCCCAAUGAGGGCUGAGAGAGGCAAAAUGUGUCAGGUUUGCCCCCGUGCAUGCCAACGCACCGAGUAUAAAUACAUCGGUCACAUGGGGCUCCUGUGUAUCUUCAUCCUUCCGCUAAACAGCUAAUCUGCAGUAUCAUGCGAGGCUGCAGUGCUUACUGAGAAUCUGAGGAAGGAGAAGAGUGCAGCUUGACCAGGAGGACAGCGAUAAUGCUGCGUAAAUGUGUAUAGUGUUGAAGGGCUAUCAGCAGUGUCAACAGGAAGAGCUGACGAGAAGGUUUCUGCUUUAAAUGCUUCAGCACAUAGCGCAUGUAGUAAGCAUUGUACAAGCCUCCCAAAGGCAGAGAUCUAGAGAAAUCAUCACAAAUAUUCUGUAUGUUUGACUCAUUAUUACCUAUAAAUAUGUAUUUUUUUGUUGAUUUAACUAGAUUUAUGAAGCACAUAUCAGCAUUCAUUAUGGGUUUGGAUCCCGGUCUUAGAUUGUUCUGGUGGAAUUUCCAUGUUUUCCCUCAUGCACGCCUGAGUCCUCUCCUGGUGCUCCGGCUUUCUCCCACAGUCCAAAAACACGUUGAUUGCUGUCUCUAAAUUGUCCUUAGGUACGAUGCCGUAGGUGGAUGUUUGUCUGUCCUGUGGUGGACUGUCGACCCGUCCAUGGUGAACACUGCCUCCAGUCCGAUGGCCGCUGGAGAUGGACACCAGCCCAGGCUUGUCUGGGCGCUGUGCUGUUGUGUCCUCCAAGCUUUUUCGUUCGGACGCAUCUGCGUGGCUCUCUGGUUGACCAGAGUGAGAUGACUUCCUACUGCCAGGUAUAAAGAUACAUUUCAAGGCACUGCAGCUCACACAUCUGGAUGCAGCACUCCUUCACACGCCACAACAGACGACCUGAGACUUGUUCUAACCCUGACCCCGUAAUUCCACAUCAUCCGCUCCUGUAGCAAAAUGACAAAUCUGCUUCCUUAUUUGGUGCAAAAAGAAUGGUUUGCAUCCGAUAUUUAAGUACAACAGUUCAUUUCAGUGUGACUAUAAAAAUGAAUAAUAAUUUGCGGUUAACAAUCUCUAUUUACAUUAUUUGACUUUUACAAACCGGACGCUGUUGACGUUCUUUUUCCUGUUUUGCUACGAUUACAGUUGUGGAGCCUGACCUGGCCGGAGCCCGGUGGACCAGAACGGAGCAGAAAAUCGGAGUUGUUCUGUAUUUUGACGGUGAACGACGGAGAGCGUGUCCGUCGACGGUGACGUUCGGAGUAUCCAUGGAGAACGUGUAACUGUUCUCACUAAUCAAAAUCACAGCGCAGUCGCUCCGUUGGUCAGACUAGAGACAUGCGUGGAUGGAACGGAGCAAGCACGGAGGAUACGGGGGUAACCCUGACCUGAUGCUUAUUUCCACCAGUUUUGGGAGCCAAGCACGUGUCAUCAACAGGUGACGUUACACAAUGUGGAAGGUUUGGAUAGUAGCAAGAAGGGCGACUGUCAUCAUUUUAAGGAGUUUAUAGUUCAGUUCUAACUGUUUAUUCUUACAAGCUUUUCUACAUAAUUCUUGAAAUGAAUUAAACAAUUGUGAGCUAAAAGUCUGAACACACCUAGAAAGGACAAUAUGAAA
Molecule: long non-coding RNA, 2227 nt
Organism: Fundulus heteroclitus (mummichog)
Lineage: Eukaryota; Metazoa; Chordata; Actinopteri; Cyprinodontiformes; Fundulidae
Exons: 2
Source: RefSeq, a predicted model, not a curated record